Molecule: small nuclear RNA, 126 nt
Filed under: Fusarium langsethiae
Lineage: Eukaryota; Fungi; Ascomycota; Sordariomycetes; Hypocreales; Nectriaceae
Description: U2 spliceosomal RNA
Rfam family: U2 spliceosomal RNA
About the family: U2 is a small nuclear RNA (snRNA) component of the spliceosome (involved in pre-mRNA splicing). Complementary binding between U2 snRNA (in an area lying towards the 5' end but 3' to hairpin I) and the branchpoint sequence (BPS) of the intron results the bulging out of an unpaired adenosine, on the BPS, which initiates a nucleophilic attack at the intronic 5' splice site, thus starting the first of two transesterification reactions that mediate splicing.
Source: Rfam by way of RNAcentral
AUGUCUAAGGACAUCAACAUUGAUUAUUCCUAUUUUUGGUCAGAGGGCGGUUUCCUCUGUGCUUGCACACGAUCCCGCCCACUGUGUCCCUGGUAUUACACUGCCUCCAGGUGACGCGAACUACAU